GGCCGAAAAUCUAAGGUUUCUUGGGGAAGGUUCGUCCGCCCGAGGUUAGUCGGGAGCUAAGCUCAGGCCGAGAGGCGUAGGCGAUGCACAUACGGUAGAAAUUCCGUAACCACCGAACUUUAAGCAUAAGGGACGCUUUCAUUAAGGUUAUCCCGGGCGAUGGUUGCCCCGGGCGUAAGGGACCGAAAUUUAGUAGGGAAGUAACUGGCGUGAGAGACGAGAAAAGCUUAUGUGUAUACUAAGGUGCCCGUACCGCAAACCGACACAGGUAGAUGGGAUGAGUAUUCUAAGGCCAACGGGAGAAGGGUUGUUAAGGAACUCGGCAAAUUGGCCCCGUAACUUCGGGAUAAGGGGCGCCUGCGAGAGCAGGCCGCAGUGAAAAGGCCCAAGCGACUGUUUAGCAAAAACACAGCUCUCUGCUAAAUCGAAAGAUGACGUAUAGGGGGUGACGCCUGCCCGGUGCUGGAAGGUUAAGGGGAGUGCUUAGCGCAAGCGAAGGUGCGAACUUAAGCCCCAGUAAACGGCGGCCGUAACUAUAACGGUCCUAAGGUAGCGAAAUUCCUUGUCAGGUAAGUUCUGACCCGCACGAAUGGCGUAACGAUUUGGGCACUGUCUCAACAGCCCGCCCGGCGAAAUUGUAGUACCGGUGAAGAUGCCGGUUUCCCGCAACUAGACGGAAAGACCCCAUGGAGCUUCACUGUAGCUUGAUAUUGGAUCUCGGUAUUCCAUGUACAGGAUAGGUGGGAGGCUAGGAAGCGAGCGCGCCAGCGUUCGUGGAGCCAACCUUGGGAUACCACUCUUGGGAUAUUGGGAUUCUAACCUGCGGCCAUGAAUCUGGUCGGGGGACACUGUAAGGUGGGCAGUUUGACUGGGGCGGUCGCCUCCUAAAGAGUAACGGAGGCGCUCAAAGGUUCGUUCAGCACGGACGGAAAUCGUGCACUGAGUGUAAACGCAUAAACGAGCCUAACUGCGAGAAUGACGGUUCGAGCAGUAACGAAAGUUGGAGUUAGUGAUCCGGCGGUAUGUGAAUGGAAAUGCCGUCGCUCAACGGAUAAAAGCUACCCUGGGGAUAACAGGCUGAUCUCCCCCAAGAGUCCACAUCGACGGGGAGGUUUGGCACCUCGAUGUCGGCUCAUCGCAUCCUGGGGCUGAAUUCGGUCCCAAGGGUUUGGCUGUUCGCCAAUUAAAGCGGUACGCGAGCUGGGUUCAGAACGUCGUGAGACAGUUCGGUCCCUAUCUGUUGCGGGCGCAGGAAUAUUGAGAGGAGCUGUCCUUAGUACGAGAGGACCGGGAUGGACGUACCGCUGGUGCACCAGUUGUUCUGCCAAGGGCAUAGCUGGGUAGCUAAGUACGGACGAGAUAAACGCUGAAGGCAUCUAAGCGUGAAACUCCCCUCGAGAUAAGUGUUCCCAUCCUUCGGGAGUAAGGCCCCUUGUAGACUACAAGGUUGAUAGGUCAGGAGUGGAAGUGCAGUAAUGUAUGGAGCGGACUGAUACUAAUAGGCCGAGGGCUUGACU
RNAcentral lists this ribosomal RNA (1517 nucleotides) under metagenome. Its description in RNAcentral is "bacterial LSU rRNA". It matches the Rfam family "Bacterial large subunit ribosomal RNA", at positions 1335 to 2925 of the family's 2925-position model. The record is from RNAcentral.